This 73-nucleotide transfer RNA is filed under the name Nephila pilipes (giant wood spider). It matches the Rfam family "tRNA". From Rfam's summary of the family: Transfer RNA (tRNA) molecules are approximately 80 nucleotides in length. Their secondary structure includes four short double-helical elements and three loops (D, anti-codon, and T loops). Further hydrogen bonds mediate the characteristic L-shaped molecular structure. tRNAs have two regions of fundamental functional importance: the anti-codon, which is responsible for specific mRNA codon recognition, and the 3' end, to which the tRNAs corresponding amino acid is attached (by aminoacyl-tRNA synthetases). tRNAs cope with the degeneracy of the genetic code in two manners: having more than one tRNA (with a specific anti-codon) for a particular amino acid; and 'wobble' base-pairing, i.e. permitting non-standard base-pairing at the 3rd anti-codon position. The record is from Rfam by way of RNAcentral. Lineage: Eukaryota; Metazoa; Arthropoda; Arachnida; Araneae; Nephilidae.
GCCACCAUAGCUCAGUGGUUAGAGCACUGGUCUCGUAAACCAGGGGUCGUGAGUUCGAAUCUCAUUGGUGGCU